CGUAAGGGCUCGCAGGCGGUUUCUUAAGUCUGAUGUGAAAGCCCCCGGCUCAACCGGGGAGGGUCAUUGGAAACUGGGGAACUUGAGUGCAGAAGAGGAGAGUGGAAUUCCACGUGUAGCGGUGAAAUGCGUAGAGAUGUGGAGGAACACCAGUGGCGAAGGCGACUCUCUGGUCUGUAACUGACGCUGAGGAGCGAAAGCGUGGGGAGCGAACAGGAUUAGAUACCCUGGUAGUCCACGCCGUAAACGAUGAGUGCUAGGUGU
RNAcentral lists this ribosomal RNA (264 nucleotides) under Bacillus subtilis. Its description in RNAcentral is "partial 16S ribosomal RNA". It matches the Rfam family "Bacterial small subunit ribosomal RNA", at positions 563 to 823 of the family's 1533-position model. Lineage: Bacteria; Bacillati; Bacillota; Bacilli; Caryophanales; Bacillaceae. The record is from RNAcentral.